UACGUAGGGGGCAAGCGGUGUCCGGAUUUAUUGGGCGUAAAGAGCGUGUAGGCGGCUUUACAGGUCCGUUGUGAAAACUCGAGGCUCAACCUCGAGACGCCGGUGGAAACCGUAAAGCUAGAGUCCGGAAGAGGAGAGUGGAAUUCCUGGUGUAGCGGUGAAAUGCGCAGAUAUCAGGAGGAACACCAAUUGCGAAGGCAGCUCGCUGGGACGUUACUGACGCUGAGACGCGAAAGCGUGGGGAGCAAACAGG
This 253-nucleotide ribosomal RNA is filed under the name uncultured bacterium. Its description in RNAcentral is "partial 16S ribosomal RNA". It matches the Rfam family "Bacterial small subunit ribosomal RNA", at positions 524 to 776 of the family's 1533-position model. The record is from RNAcentral.